RNAcentral lists this ribosomal RNA (797 nucleotides) under Gordonia amicalis. RNAcentral's name for it is "bacterial SSU rRNA". It matches the Rfam family "Bacterial small subunit ribosomal RNA", at positions 56 to 866 of the family's 1533-position model. The record is from RNAcentral. Lineage: Bacteria; Bacillati; Actinomycetota; Actinomycetes; Mycobacteriales; Gordoniaceae.
UGCAAGUCGAACGGAAAGGCCCGCUUGCGGGUACUCGAGUGGCGAACGGGUGAGUAACACGUGGGUGAUCUGCCCUGGACUCUGGGAUAAGCCUGGGAAACUGGGUCUAAUACCGGAUAUGACCUUACAUCGCAUGGUGUUUGGUGGAAAGCUUUUGCGGUUCAGGAUGGGCCCGCGGCCUAUCAGCUUGUUGGUGGGGUAAUGGCCUACCAAGGCGACGACGGGUAGCCGACCUGAGAGGGUGAUCGGCCACACUGGGACUGAGACACGGCCCAGACUCCUACGGGAGGCAGCAGUGGGGAAUAUUGCACAAUGGGCGCAAGCCUGAUGCAGCGACGCCGCGUGAGGGAUGACGGCCUUCGGGUUGUAAACCUCUUUCACCAGGGACGAAGCGCAAGUGACGGUACCUGGAGAAGAAGCACCGGCCAACUACGUGCCAGCAGCCGCGGUAAUACGUAGGGUGCGAGCGUUGUCCGGAAUUACUGGGCGUAAAGAGCUCGUAGGCGGUUUGUCGCGUCGUCUGUGAAAUUCUGCAACUCAAUUGUAGGCGUGCAGGCGAUACGGGCAGACUUGAGUACUACAGGGGAGACUGGAAUUCCUGGUGUAGCGGUGAAAUGCGCAGAUAUCAGGAGGAACACCGGUGGCGAAGGCGGGUCUCUGGGUAGUAACUGACGCUGAGGAGCGAAAGCGUGGGUAGCGAACAGGAUUAGAUACCCUGGUAGUCCACGCCGUAAACGGUGGGUACUAGGUGUGGGGCUCAUUUCACGAGUUCCGUGCCGUAGCUAACGCAUUAAGUA